GCUUUGAUGGAAAGAGAAGAAAAAGUAGGUUGUAAGACAGUACACUUGGAGGCGCGCUGGUCUUGGUCAUUAGAAAUAGGAACCUUUUUUUUUUGCAGCAAACUUCACUUAGUUAAAAUGUAACUAUUUAGUUUAGUUUUUUUUAAGGACAAAAUGUGUAUUUGGACUUAUGUAACUUAUUGAAUUAAAAGUCUAAUGGCCGUUGUAACUUGUUGAAUUUGAAAAGAAUUGAAUUAUUAAAGUGAAUUUGGGCUAUUUGCAAUUUGUUGGAU
RNAcentral lists this long non-coding RNA (272 nucleotides) under Lathyrus oleraceus (garden pea). Its description in RNAcentral is "Pisum sativum (pea) long non-coding RNA (PSAT_LNC035739)". Lineage: Eukaryota; Viridiplantae; Streptophyta; Magnoliopsida; Fabales; Fabaceae. The record is from RNAcentral.